CACUGUAGAAAUAUAUAUAUAUAUAUAUAUAUAUCUUUGUGUAUAUAUAUUUUUCUCUUUUCCUAUAGGAAGGAGGCAAGAAGCCAAGUGGCAGGAUAUAUGCUGACAAAGCUGAAAAGAUGACAAUCUCACAGAAGAAAAUUGGAGACAGCAGAAGUUACAGAGUCCUGUUCAGAAUGAAUUAAAGCAGUUUUGUGGAAUAGCUUGAUUUUCCUGUUACAGUUUUGACCACUCUGAGUUUGACAGCUGAGGGCAGGAGAAGAGGAGCAUCUUGUCUCCCUCCAGCAGAACAGUGAGCCAGAAUGAAAUGUCUGCUUCCUGGUUCUGCACACCUGAAGAUCAGCUUUGAAUUUGUCUACAGUAAACUUUUUUCACCUGAAAGCUAACUGAUUGCCAAGCAACAUACUGUAUUUAACCUAUCCAUAAAGGCUUGCUUUUGGUAUAA
Molecule: long non-coding RNA, 445 nt
Filed under: Apteryx owenii (little spotted kiwi)
Lineage: Eukaryota; Metazoa; Chordata; Aves; Apterygiformes; Apterygidae
Description: lncRNA (ENSAOWG00000008243.1)
Source: RNAcentral